AUGGAUACAGACCGCCCCGCAGUGUGUGUGUGUGUGUGUACCUGCAGAGUGUUCUGUGUCCGCCUCCUGGGAGCGGCGGAUGGAUACAGACCGCCCCGCAGUGUGUGUGUGUGUGUGUGUGUGUGUGUGUGUGUGUACCUGCAGAGUGUUGUGUCCGCCUCCUGGGAGCGGCGGAUGGAUACAGACCGCCCCGCAGUGUGUGUGUGUGUGUGUGUGUGUGUGUGUGUGUGUACCUGCAGAGUGUUGUGUCCGCCUCCUGGGAGCGGCGGAUGGAUACAGACCGCCCUGCAGUGUGUGUGUGUGUGUGUGUGUGUGUGUGUGUGUGUGUGUGUACCUGCAGAGUGUUCUGUGUCCGCCUCCUGGGAGCGGCGGAUGGAUACAGACCGCCCCGCAGUGUGUGUGUGUGUGUGUGUGUGUGUGUGUACCUGCAGAGUGUUCUGUGUCCGCCUCCUGGGAGCGGCGGAUGGAUACAGACCGCCCCGCAGUGUGUGUGUGUGUGUGUGUGUGUGUGUGUAUGUGUGUGUGUGUACCUGCAGAGUGUUCUGUGUCCGCCUCCUGGGAGCGGCGGAUGGAUACAGACCGCUCCGCAGUGUGUGUGUGUGUAUGUACCUGCAGAGUGUUCUGUGUCCGCCUCCUCCCUUCCCCCAUCACGCUGGCCAUCCUUCUUGGGCGCGGGUGGCUGGGGGGCUGCUUUCACCUUCAGGGGCCGUGGGCUGGAGGAAAGUGGGAAGGGGCGCCCGUGGAGGCCGAGCCCUGCCCUCUUCUAAGGGAAGGCAGCCCCUGAUAGACCUCUGGCUGAGGAGACAAACCACUUGUCUGCGCCAGUGUCGUCAUUCUUUCUGCCACACUGCUGUUCUCUCAGUUGCUGUGGUGGCACACUUUACCAUUUCACUGUCCCCACAGUUGCCCAGGAAAGAGGACCUUUCCCUGACAGGACCCGCACCUGCUCAGACAAUCCUGUUUCUCACCCCCCAGCAAGGGGUCAGGCACCAUGUAGGGACAGUCCUGGCUCUUCCUGGCUUCUGUCUGUCAGGUCAUCUCUUGCAGGGGAUUCCAAGGGCUCAUCAUUUUGGCAGGGUAGGAAUAUGCCAAGGAUUAGAACCAACUGGGAUCUCACACGCUUGCCAUACACACCAGUCUACUUCCCCCAGCCAUUCUUUGGAGAAGGCCCCACCAAACACUUAA
This 1185-nucleotide long non-coding RNA is filed under the name Bos grunniens (domestic yak). RNAcentral's name for it is "lncRNA (ENSBGRG00000018774.1)". Lineage: Eukaryota; Metazoa; Chordata; Mammalia; Artiodactyla; Bovidae. The record is from RNAcentral.